GCAGCUUUUAAAGCUUGGUGCUCCCCUGCCAGGCACAUCUGCUGUGCAGAGGAAAGGCUGUGCUGCUGCUCAUUUCCACAGGGUGGUGAGGCAGGACAACGUCUGAGCUCGUGGGCACUUAAAGACGUUAGGGUGACCUGUUUAACCAACCACUGGGCUGACAAGAGGAAUCUGGUACCACUGGCUGAGAGCCUCGGGAAUGGUAACACCUUUGCCCACCUGCAGCUGCCUUGGUAAUUUUCACACACGGAGAACGAACACAGAGAGUUCUCAAAAAUCCUAGAAGCCGCAAAGCUCCUACGUAUCUUUCCUGCCUACAACUGUUUGAAAUGGCCAGGAACCUACAGCAGCAGCACCACACAGCAACCCUAACAGUGAGACCACACCGGAACCCUCCCGCUGGGACAAGGCAGCAGGACAACAACAGAACCCUCAGAGGACAACAGGACCCCCUGGAAAAAGGGCAGGCUGACAUGGAGACAAUGCCUCCCUACUGCUCUAGGUCUGCUUUUAGCAGAAGAGCACAAGCCUGCUGUGCCUCCAAAAGCU
Long non-coding RNA from Vidua chalybeata, 549 nucleotides. RefSeq lists it as uncharacterized. The transcript has 3 exons. NCBI's taxonomy places the organism in Eukaryota, Metazoa, Chordata, Aves, Passeriformes, Viduidae. The record is from RefSeq and is a predicted model, not a curated record.